AAUAGAUACCCUGGUAGUCCAUGCCGUAAACGUUGGGCGCUAGGUGUGGGGCUCAUUCCACGAGUUCUGUGCCGCAGCUAACGCAUUAAGCGCCCCGCCUGGGGAGUACGGCCGCAAGGCUAAAACUCAAAGGAAUUGACGGGGGUCCGCACAAGCGGCGGAGCAUGCGGAUUAAUUCGAUGCAACGCGAAGAACCUUACCAAGGCUUGACAUACAUCGGUAACGGCCAGAGAUGGUCGCCCCGUAAGGUCGGUGUACAGGUGGUGCAUGGUUGUCGUCAGCUCGUGUCGUGAGAUGUUGGGUUAAGUCCCGCAACGAGCGCAACCCUCGUUCCAUGUUGCCAGCACGUUGUGGUGGGGACUCAUGGGAGACUGCCGGGGUCAACUCGGAGGAAGGUGGGGAUGACGUCAAAUCAUCAUGCCCCGUUAUGUCUUGGGCUUCACGCAUGCUACAAUGGCCAGUACAAAGGGCGGCGAUACCGGUGAGGUGGAGCGAAUCCCAAAAAACCGUGGUCUCAGUUCGGAUUGGGGU
RNAcentral lists this ribosomal RNA (531 nucleotides) under uncultured bacterium. Its description in RNAcentral is "bacterial SSU rRNA". It matches the Rfam family "Bacterial small subunit ribosomal RNA", at positions 777 to 1304 of the family's 1533-position model. The record is from RNAcentral.